UGGGGAAUAUUGGACAAUGGGCGCAAGCCUGAUCCAGCCAUGCCGCGUGAGUGAUGACGGCCUUAGGGUUGUAAAGCUCUUUCGCGCACGACGAUAAUGACGGUAGUGCGAGAAGAAGCCCCGGCUAACUUCGUGCCAGCAGCCGCGGUAAUACGAAGGGGGCUAGCGUUGUUCGGAUUAACUGGGCGUAAAGGGUGCGUAGGCGGGUUUUUAAGUCAGGGGUGAAAUCCCAAGGCUCAACCUUGGAACUGCCUUUGAUACUGGAAAUCUUGAGUCCGGGAGAGGUGAGUGGAACUGCGAGUGUAGAGGUGAAAUUCGUAGAUAUUCGCAAGAACACCAGUGGCGAAGGCGGCUCACUGGCCCGGUACUGACGCUGAGGCACGAAAGCGUGGGGAGCAAACA
This 402-nucleotide ribosomal RNA is filed under the name uncultured bacterium. RNAcentral describes it as "bacterial SSU rRNA". It matches the Rfam family "Bacterial small subunit ribosomal RNA", at positions 355 to 774 of the family's 1533-position model. The record is from RNAcentral.